RNAcentral lists this ribosomal RNA (253 nucleotides) under uncultured bacterium. RNAcentral's name for it is "partial 16S ribosomal RNA". It matches the Rfam family "Bacterial small subunit ribosomal RNA", at positions 524 to 776 of the family's 1533-position model. The record is from RNAcentral.
UACGUAGGGAGCAAGCGUUGUCCGGAAUCAUUGGGCGUAAAGCGCGCGUAGGCGGCCCUGUAAGUCCGUUGUGAAAGUCAAAGGCUCAACCUUUGAAAGCCGAUGGAUACUGCAGGGCUAGAGUCCGGAAGAGGCGAGUGGAAUUCCUGGUGUAGCGGUGAAAUGCGCAGAUAUCAGGAGGAACACCAAUGGCGAAGGCAGCUCGCUGGGACGUGACUGACGCUGAGACGCGAAAGCCAGGGGAGCAAACGGG